RNAcentral lists this ribosomal RNA (468 nucleotides) under uncultured bacterium. RNAcentral describes it as "partial 16S ribosomal RNA". It matches the Rfam family "Bacterial small subunit ribosomal RNA", at positions 28 to 507 of the family's 1533-position model. The record is from RNAcentral.
GACGAACGCUGGCGGCGUGCUUAACACAUGCCAGUCGAACGGAAAGGCCCUGCUUUUGUGGGGUGCUCGAGUGGCGAACGGGUGAGUAACACGUGAGUAACCUGCCCUUGACUUUGGGAUAACUUCAGGAAACUGGGGCUAAUACCGGAUAGGAGCUCCUGCUGCAUGGUGGGGGUUGGAAAGUUUCGGCGGUUGGGGAUGGACUCGCGGCUUAUCAGCUUGUUGGUGGGGUAGUGGCUUACCAAGGCUUUGACGGGUAGCCGGCCUGAGAGGGUGACCGGCCACAUUGGGACUGAGAUACGGCCCAGACUCAUACGGGAGGCAGCAGUGGGGAAUAUUGCACAAUGGGCGGAAGCCUGAUGCAGCAACGCCGCGGGCGGGAUGACGGCCUUCGGGUUGUAAAACGCUUUCGCCUGUGACGAAGCGUGAGUGACGGUAAUGGGUAAAGAAGCACCGGCUAACUACGUG